Molecule: long non-coding RNA, 169 nt
Organism: Eucalyptus grandis
Lineage: Eukaryota; Viridiplantae; Streptophyta; Magnoliopsida; Myrtales; Myrtaceae
Exons: 3
Source: RefSeq, a predicted model, not a curated record
UUCAGAAGUACUUAAUGCCACGACUGCGCGAACUUACUCAGCGGACCUUGUAUGAACUGCACUAUCUUUUAAUUACAUUUGGAAAGGUUUUCUGCACAAAGACCAAGCCGAAUUGCAACGCAUGUCCACUGAGGGGCGAGUGCAAGCAUUUUGCAAGUGCAUAUGCCAG